RNAcentral lists this ribosomal RNA (438 nucleotides) under uncultured bacterium. RNAcentral describes it as "bacterial SSU rRNA". It matches the Rfam family "Bacterial small subunit ribosomal RNA", at positions 28 to 464 of the family's 1533-position model. The record is from RNAcentral.
GAUGAACGCUGGCGGCGUGCUUAACACAUGCAAGUCGAACGGGAUCCCAGGAGCUUGCUCCUGGGUGAGAGUGGCGAACGGGUGAGUAAUGCGUGACCGACCUGCCCCAUACACCGGAAUAGCUCCUGGAAACGGGUGGUAAUGCCGGAUGCUCCGACAUGACGCAUGUCGUGUCGGGAAAGAUUCUAUCGGUAUGGGAUGGGGUCGCGUCCUAUCAGCUUGAUGGCGGGGUAACGGCCCACCAUGGCUUCGACGGGUAGCCGGCCUGAGAGGGCGACCGGCCACAUUGGGACUGAGAUACGGCCCAGACUCCUACGGGAGGCAGCAGUGGGGAAUAUUGCACAAUGGGCGCAAGCCUGAUGCAGCGACGCCGCGUGCGGGAUGACGGCCUUCGGGUUGUAAACCGCUUUUGAUCGGGAGCAAGCCUUCGGGUGAGUG